UUUAAGGAGGCUCGCGGGUAUAAGAUUUUCAGAAAAAAAUUAAACAUUUAUUUUUCAUUACAAAUUUUAUUAAUUACCUUUAGUAGUUGUUACUUUAUCAUAUGGUACAAAAAUUAUUCCCAAAAAUCAGUUCGUGUUAGCCCCUGGUGACUUUUAAAAUGUAGAUAUCAUUGAAAAAGCUCCAAAUUAUCUCCCUUUGGUGCAAAAAUGCC
RNAcentral lists this long non-coding RNA (212 nucleotides) under Mytilus galloprovincialis (Mediterranean mussel). Lineage: Eukaryota; Metazoa; Mollusca; Bivalvia; Mytilida; Mytilidae. The record is from RNAcentral.